This is a non-coding RNA of Paramuricea clavata, 303 nucleotides long. NCBI's taxonomy places the organism in Eukaryota, Metazoa, Cnidaria, Anthozoa, Malacalcyonacea, Plexauridae. The record is from the annotation of a GenBank genome assembly.
GCCUGUUGUUGUAUACUGUAUUACUGUUCAUAUAUGCUUUGACAAACAUUUGAACAUUAUAUAAAAAAUAUGCAAUAGCAUUUGGACAUAACAAGCACUACUGCACUAGAAUUAUUGCACAAGCAGGUUUCUAAAGAGUAACUAAUGCAUAAGCCCAGGGCCAGCGACACAGGUUCAUGACACACAUGGCGCAAACUAAGGCCCAAGCACUACACACGUAAAAACGCACAAGUUGUUACAAAUCUGUUCACAAGCUGUCAACAAGUUGUGUUCGGACUGCUUGUUCCCACUUGUUGUAACAAG